This 384-nucleotide ribosomal RNA is filed under the name marine copepod environmental sample. RNAcentral's name for it is "SSU rRNA". It matches the Rfam family "Eukaryotic small subunit ribosomal RNA", at positions 587 to 972 of the family's 1831-position model. The record is from RNAcentral. Lineage: Eukaryota; Metazoa; Arthropoda; Copepoda.
AGCUCCAAUAGCGUAUAUUAAAGUUGUUGCGGUUAAAAAGCUCGUAGUUGGAUCUCGGCAGCCAGGGGGCGGUUCGCUCCAAAGCGUGACUGCCCCAUUUGGCUGUGUGAUUGGCGGAGGUUCCGGGGUGCUCUUCGUUGAGUGUCCCGGUGCGCCGUCAGGUUUACUUUGAAAAAAUUAGAGUGCUCAAAGCAGGCUUUUCAGGCUUGAAUAUUCGUGCAUGGAAUAAUGGAUAAGGACUCGGUUCUAUUUUGGUGGUUUUUGGGAAACGAAUUAAUGGAUUAUAGGGACAAUUGGGGGCAUUAGUAUUCAAACGACAGAGGUGAAAUUCUUGGACCGUUUGAAGACUAACUACUGCGAAAGCAUUUGCCAAGAGUGUUUUCA